GGUCUCGUAGCUCAGUGGUAGAGCACACACAUUGUGUUCCUUCAAAUCCCAGGACUUUUAUGUGUGGGUCGUUGGUUCGAAUCCGAUCCAGGCUG
Mycena leptocephala is the source of this 95-nucleotide non-coding RNA. NCBI's taxonomy places the organism in Eukaryota, Fungi, Basidiomycota, Agaricomycetes, Agaricales, Mycenaceae. The record is from the annotation of a GenBank genome assembly.